Molecule: long non-coding RNA, 1484 nt
Organism: Apis florea (little honeybee)
Lineage: Eukaryota; Metazoa; Arthropoda; Insecta; Hymenoptera; Apidae
Source: RefSeq, a predicted model, not a curated record
UUUGUUGAUUGUUUCCUCUUCUUUCCAGUUAGAUGUGGUCCGAUCAAGUUUACUUCAACAUAUGGCCUGAACAUUCCUGUAGCUAGUUGCCACUUCAAAUCGUUCGCAGCGACAACUGAAAAAUGUUUUAUAAUGCAUAAAAGGCAUAAAGAUUUGGAUGAGAUAUACCUUUGACGGUGACUUUUUGUUCGCCAGUUCCAGGAUGCGUGAAGAGAUCCACUUGAAUACUGACUUCUCCAACUGAGCCUUCCUCUGUGCCAGCAGUAUCUGGAACUUUAUUAAGAACAAGUUAGAUUUCAUAUACAAAUUCAAACUUUUUGUCACUACAAGAGAGAAAACAAGAGCCUCGCUGAGGCUCUAUUCGAGACUAAAAUUUUGAAAUUGAAUGCUAAAAUACUAUAUAAUAUAUGAAUAAUAUCUAAUUCUAGAGCAGAUUACAUGCUCUAAUCAUAUGCAUGGAAUUUUGUAUCUUUGAAUCAAUUCAUCAAAGAAGACGAAGUUGCUGUAUUUGUUAAAGACGCAUGGAUAAUCUCAAGCAUAUAAAAUUUACAAGAUCUUUAUACAAUGAUAAAUUCACUAAUUUGCUAAUCGAUUUCAUUAUUAUUUUAUGAACAAGGAUUAGUUUGCAGCAAUUUAAUUGUAAAAAUUACAAAAUUUAAUUAUAAAAAUCUUAUAUCUCAUUGCUUUGACUGGAUUAUACAUUUUGCGAUUAAUAAUUAAUUUACCAAUCGUAUGGAUAUGUAAAAAAAAAAAAAAGAAAUUAUAGAAUUGUCGAUUUAUAUCUGCUACAUACUUUUUAGAAAAAACAAUUUAACUGGAAAAUGAUAUGGUGAAUGGACUGUGAUAAAGAAAAUCUAUAGGUGUUUAAGUGUACAUUUGUCAAAGCUUAAAAAAAAAAAAUUAUUAAAAGAAUGCUUAGUGUAAAAAACAAUGUUAGAAAAUGGCAACCUCUGGAGUAUGUGUAAUAUAUAGAGUAUAUAUUCACAAAUUUAUAUUAUUAUUGUAAUAGAUUGCUAUCAAGUGGAUAUUGCCAUCGAGAUGAGUACAGCCUUAUAAGAACAAUGAUAAUCAUCAUGCAAAUGUUAUACUGUUCGCGGCCAUAGAAGAUAAGUGGAACAUUGAUCAUUCAUUCGAAAUCUCGAAUUCUGAGUCCAAAAUUAUGAAGUUUCAAGUGGGCUUCCCAAGAUUAUUGGAUUUAUAAAUCUUCAUGAACUCAUGAAUUAUUAGAUUAUAGAAGUUCUAAGCUUCACCAGCAAUUAAUAACCUUCUUAAUGACCUAUGAUCUCAAGUUGAUGAAGGAUGGCAUUCACUAAGAGAAAUUAUGACUUUCAGAUCCGAAGGUGGCCAUUUUCUACUGUCGAUGUUUUGUAAGGUUUUCGGUAGUAGCAGCAACAGCGGUAGUAGUGACAGCAGCAGCAGCACUACCUAAUACAACUAUCGAUCACCGAGAAGUCUUCGGGACGGUCUUUUUGACCCUUUCAAUU